Molecule: ribosomal RNA, 118 nt
Filed under: bacterium
Lineage: Bacteria
Description: partial 16S ribosomal RNA
Rfam family: Bacterial small subunit ribosomal RNA
Source: RNAcentral
GGGGGUACCUAAAGUACGUAACCGCAAGGAGCGUCCUAGGGUAAAACCGAUAACUGGGGCUAAGUCGUAACAAGGUAGCCGUACCGGAAGGUGCGGCUGGAAUACCUCCUUUCUGGAG